Molecule: ribosomal RNA, 253 nt
Filed under: uncultured bacterium
Lineage: Bacteria
Description: partial 16S ribosomal RNA
Rfam family: Bacterial small subunit ribosomal RNA
Source: RNAcentral
UACAGAGGUCCCAAGCGUUGUUCGGAUUCACUGGGCGUAAAGGGUGCGUAGGUGGGCAGGUAAGUCAGUGGUGAAAUCUCCGGGCUUAACCCGGAAACUGCCAUUGAUACUAUCUGUCUUGAAUACCGUGGAGGUGAGCGGAAUAUGUCAUGUAGCGGUGAAAUGCUUAGAUAUGACAUAGAACACCAAUUGCGAAGGCAGCUCACUACGCGAAUAUUGACACUGAGGCACGAAAGCGUGGGGAGCGAACAGG